CCUUUGGGGCGAGGUGCAAUUCCUCAACCGGCGGUAAAGUCCGCGAGCCGAAAGGCAUGAUACGGUGUAAUUCCGUAACCGACAGUAUAGUCUGGAUGAGAAAAGGUG
RNAcentral lists this non-coding RNA (108 nucleotides) under uncultured Phascolarctobacterium sp. Its description in RNAcentral is "FMN riboswitch (RFN element)". It matches the Rfam family "FMN riboswitch aptamer (RFN element)". From Rfam's summary of the family: The RFN element is a highly conserved domain that is found frequently in the 5'-untranslated regions of prokaryotic mRNAs that encode for flavin mononucleotide (FMN) biosynthesis and transport proteins. This element is a metabolite-dependent riboswitch that directly binds FMN in the absence of proteins. Lineage: Bacteria; Bacillati; Bacillota; Negativicutes; Acidaminococcales; Acidaminococcaceae. The record is from RNAcentral.